UACGGAGGGUGCAAGCGUUAAUCGGAAUUACUGGGCGUAAAGCGUGCGCAGGCGGAUGUGCAAGACCGAUGUGAAAUCCCCGGGCUUAACCUGGGAAUGGCAGUGGAGACUGAACGGCUAGAGUGUGGCAGAGGGGGGUAGAAUUCCACGUGUAGCAGUGAAAUGCGUAGAGAUGUGGAGGAAUACCGAUGGCGAAGGCAGCCCCCUGGGAUAACACUGACGCUAAUGCACGAAAGCGUGGGGAGCAAACAGG
Molecule: ribosomal RNA, 253 nt
Filed under: uncultured bacterium
Lineage: Bacteria
Description: partial 16S ribosomal RNA
Rfam family: Bacterial small subunit ribosomal RNA
Source: RNAcentral